Molecule: non-coding RNA, 1709 nt
Organism: Callithrix jacchus (white-tufted-ear marmoset)
Lineage: Eukaryota; Metazoa; Chordata; Mammalia; Primates; Cebidae
Source: RefSeq, a predicted model, not a curated record
AGCCUCAGCAAGAAUCCGGUGAUCUGGCUCUACACAUAACUUGGUGGAAAGGAGACAUAUAGAGAAGUGGAAGGCGGGAAGAAGAACAUAAUUUCAGUAGUGUAGGAACGUAUUUGACAUCUAUGAGCUUCAGCGACACCCAGGGGUUCAGCACAUGGAUGGUGAUUUAAGAUGAGCUCCCCUGAAAUAAUGCUGUACCCUCAGGCCAGUGGGCCUCUUUGAAGGGGUUAAUUGUUCAGAGAAUCUUGGCCAGUGAUUUUAGAAGGUAAGAACCACCCCAUAUCAAAGUUAGCAAUGACUGGGGAGAAGGCUAUUAUCACUGUAAAUAUGUAUUAACUGAGCUACUUGGCAACCAUAACCCCUUUUACUGCCUCACAUCUCUCCACUGCAAACUGCAUGUUUGUAGAUAAACCACAAGCAAGCAGUCUACAUUUACAACAUUGGCCUGGAUGUGGACUUCUCAAAUGCAGUGUGUAAACUAAAUUCAGGUUGACCGUGUAUUCAUGGUGAUUGUUUAUUUGCCAGACACUUCCUAAGCCUCAUAUUUAUUCAGUUUUUCCUUUGGGUCACAUCAGUGCCAGUGAGUUUAAUAUAUUCUGCUUCUUGGGAGUCAUGGGGUCAGGGAUGUGUUCCCUCCCUCCCACAUUAGAAAGAAGAAGGACGGUUGUUAAGGAUUCUCCUAAAACUUGGGGACAACCCAUGGGGGGCCAGGGACACACACUCUGACACCAUUUUACGUAAACCCAGACAUGCUUCUGCUCAUUUUAAUUAGACAGAUAAAAUUAGCAAGGAGAUUACGGUAAAAGGAGAAAUUAAAAAUAAUUAAAUGUUAGGUGGAAUUUACAAAAGUGAAUUGAACAAUGAGGUACAAUAAGGAAUGUAAAGAGAAACACAGACACGUUUGAAACAUUCCUCGGAUGCCACGUGGCUUAAGCCAGUCCGUAGGUAAAGCAACAAUUCUCCCUUGUCACUUCUUGCAGAUUCCAGUGAUGUGAAAGAACAUUCUCCAGAAACACUUUCCUUCUCCUUUUCUUCAGAUGUUAUCAGCAAUUAUUAAUCAAUCAGUCAGCAUCAUUCCAGGAUGGCCCACACUGCGUCCAAUUCAAACCACUCACCUGUUUCCUGUCUGAAUUUGCAAACUCCUGAGAGUUUUCCCCCCCUUUCAUUUCAUUUUUCUCCCUCUCCUCUCUUCCCAUUGAGCCAGUAGGCCAAUUGGGCCAACCAGAAAGCCUAACCAACACUGCAUUCCAGCCCCUUCGGAUUUCCUAGGGACAAAGACUUCCCAGGUCUUCUUUCUUGUUUGCAUCUGUUACGAACAAGCACAGUCAUUUUAUAACACAGACAUACAUAUGUGUGCGCUUGCACACGGAAACAGGUUUUUCUUUUUUUCCAAUUUGUGGUUUCUUUUUCCUUUUUGCAGAAAAUGCAAACAAAAGAAAAACGAGGUUUUCAAUUGAAGGUACAUCUCUUCUUCAAUAUGAAGACAUUAAUUGAAUUGGUUGGAUCCCCAUGCAGUGGUCAGCGAAGUCCUUUGGCAACUGACGGAACAACAUCUGGAGACUCAGGAGCUGGGUUCAUUUUGUUUGAAGAAACUUCCCUACAGGAGUCAUGAGCAGAGGGAAACGAGUGUGGGAGAAAGGAGGGGACUCUCAGGGAGGAGUACAAAAGGAGAAAAGAAAAGAAUGUCAUUGGUAAGGAAGAAAAUGGAA